RNAcentral lists this transfer RNA (71 nucleotides) under Dipodomys ordii (Ord's kangaroo rat). It matches the Rfam family "tRNA". Rfam says of the family: Transfer RNA (tRNA) molecules are approximately 80 nucleotides in length. The record is from Rfam by way of RNAcentral. Lineage: Eukaryota; Metazoa; Chordata; Mammalia; Rodentia; Heteromyidae.
GGGAAUGUGGCUUAGUGGUAGAGUACUUGCCUAGCAUGCAUGAAGCCCUGAGUUCGAUUCCCCAGUACCCA